AUAUCGGCGAUAAAGGUUAUCCUUGGAGAGGAUGGUUCAAACAGAGGUAUCUUGAUAGCUUAUUUUUGCUCUUUCAGCUGUAACUCUUUUGCUCUAUGAGCUUCGUAAUCUCAAACUUUUAUAAUCACCUGGGCAGGGGCACAAAAGUUAGCAAGAAUAAGGGAGAACAGCAACUUUUUCAGGGCUGAGUUGCAGAAGAUGGGGUUUGAAGUUCUUGGAGACAAUGAUUCACCAGUCAUGCCAAUAAUGCUUUACAAUCCAGCAAAAAUUCCAGCAUUCUCAAGGGAAUGUUUGCGAGAAAACGUUAGUUUCUCUUGCUUUUCUUAAAAAAUAUUUUUUUUUGCUUCCACACAAGAGACUCACCUCCUAUGUUCAACGGAUAAUGAAAUUUGUGAACAGUUGGCGGUGGUGGUCGUCGGUUUCCCAGCUACACCCCUAUUGCUAGCCAGGGCUCGUAUUUGCAUAUCCGCAUCUCACUCAAGAGAAGAUCUUAUAAAAGCCCUACAGGUAAAUGAAAUCUUGCAUUGAGUUCACUGGUUCUCACUCCCAUAUCAUUUACCACGAAGAGCCCUAGUAGUAUUAGUAUAAAACACGAGUUCUCGGGUUUCUAGAUAGGUCUAUGUAAAUAAAGCCUUUCUCAGAAAGGGAAUCUGCAGUUCAUCCACAAGAUGGAUUCACACGUUUUAAUAUUCUCCGUGUUAUGAUAGGUUAUAAGCAAAGCAGGUGACCUUACCGGGAUCAAAUAUUUUCCGGCAGCUCCAAAAAAGCAAGAAGUAGAGAAAAAUGGCAUCAAAUUGGAUUAAACCCGUAAGGCAACAGUUUCUUUCCAAGAGAUGUUUGGCUAGCAAUUAGCUGUAGUGUACAA
RNAcentral lists this long non-coding RNA (865 nucleotides) under Arabidopsis thaliana (thale cress). RNAcentral's name for it is "long non-coding RNA (ATHA_LNC000183)". The record is from RNAcentral. Lineage: Eukaryota; Viridiplantae; Streptophyta; Magnoliopsida; Brassicales; Brassicaceae.